Acanthosepion pharaonis is the source of this 115-nucleotide non-coding RNA. The record is from the annotation of a GenBank genome assembly. NCBI's taxonomy places the organism in Eukaryota, Metazoa, Mollusca, Cephalopoda, Sepiida, Sepiidae.
AUGACCAUAUCAUGUUGAAACACCUGUUUCCAUACAAUCACCAAAGUUAAUCAAAGUCAUGCCUGGUCAGUACUUGGAUGGGUGACCACCACUUGUGAAUACCAGAUGACUGUAA